Molecule: ribosomal RNA, 449 nt
Filed under: uncultured bacterium
Lineage: Bacteria
Description: partial 16S ribosomal RNA
Rfam family: Bacterial small subunit ribosomal RNA
Source: RNAcentral
AACGAACGCUGGCGGCAGGCCUAACACAUGCAAGUCGAACGCCCUGGCAACAGGGAGUGGCAGACGGGUGAGUAACGCGUGGGAACGUGCCCUUCGGUUCGGAAUAACUCAGGGAAACUUGAGCUAAUACCGAAUACGUGCGAGAGCAGAAAGAUUUAUCGCCGAAGGAUCGGCCCGCGUCCGAUUAGCUAGUUGGUGAGGUAAUGGCUCACCAAGGCGACGAUCGGUAGCUGGUCUGAGAGGAUGAUAAGCCACACUGGGACUGAGACACGGCCCAGACUCCUACGGGAGGCAGCAGUGGGGAAUAUUGGACAAUGGGCGCAAGCCUGACGCAGCCAUGCCGCGUGAAUGAUGAAGGUCUUAGGAUUGUAAAAUUCUUUUACCAGGGACGAUAAUGACGGUACCUGGAGAAAAAGCUCCGGCUAACUUCGUGCCAGCCGCCGCCGUAA